This 253-nucleotide ribosomal RNA is filed under the name uncultured bacterium. RNAcentral describes it as "partial 16S ribosomal RNA". It matches the Rfam family "Bacterial small subunit ribosomal RNA", at positions 524 to 776 of the family's 1533-position model. The record is from RNAcentral.
UACGUAGGGUGCAAGCGUUGUCCGGAAUUAUUGGGCGUAAAGAGCUCGUAGGCGGUCUGUCGCGUCGGCUGUGAAAUCCCGAGGCUCAACCCCGUGACUGCAUCCGAUACUGUCAGGCUAGAGGUAGGUAGGGGAGAUCGGAAUUCCUGGUGUAGCGGUGAAAUGCGCAGAUAUCAGGAGGAACACCGGUGGCGAAGGCGGUUCUCUGGGACGGUACUGACGCUGAGACGCGAAAGCGUGGGGAGCGAACAGG